This 479-nucleotide ribosomal RNA is filed under the name uncultured organism. RNAcentral's name for it is "partial 16S ribosomal RNA". It matches the Rfam family "Bacterial small subunit ribosomal RNA", at positions 331 to 801 of the family's 1533-position model. The record is from RNAcentral.
GUACACUCCUGCGGGAGGUAGCAGUGGGGAAUUUUGGACAAUGGGCGAAAGCCUGAUCCAGCAAUGCCGCGUGAGUGAAGAAGGCCUUCGGGUUGUAAAGCUCUUUUGUCAGGGAAGAAACGGUGAAAGCUAAUAUCUUUUGCUAAUGACGGUACCUGAAGAAUAAGCACCGGCUAACUACGUGCCAGCAGCCGCGGUAAUACGUAGGGUGCAAGCGUUAAUCGGAAUUACUGGGCGUAAAGCGUGCGCAGGCGGUUUUGUAAGUCUGAUGUGAAAUCCCCGGGCUCAACCUGGGAAUUGCAUUGGAGACUGCAAGGCUAGAAUCUGGCAGAGGGGGGUAGAAUUCCACGUGUAGCAGUGAAAUGCGUAGAUAUGUGGAGGAACACCGAUGGCGAAGGCAGCCCCCUGGGUCAAGAUUGACGCUCAUGCACGAAAGCGUGGGGAGCAAACAGGAUUAGAAACCCGAGUAGUCCCAUGAU